Molecule: long non-coding RNA, 451 nt
Filed under: Phoenix dactylifera (date palm)
Lineage: Eukaryota; Viridiplantae; Streptophyta; Magnoliopsida; Arecales; Arecaceae
Description: long non-coding RNA (PDAC_LNC019932)
Source: RNAcentral
UUCUUUAUUUAGCUGACUGAGCUCUUUUUGCUUAUUUUUCACUGAAAUUGUGCCUUCCGUUAUUAUCUUGUUUAAAGCAUUACUGAAUGUUUUGAACUCUGAUUUGAUAACUCACUGGUGAUAUGGAACAUUGAAUGGAGAUUUGUAGGAGAUUUUUUGCCCAACACAUACUCGUAUGUUGACAGGGCUUUACACAUAUGGUGUCUUUUUAUCCUUAUGUUUGCACCAAUAAUGUGGCUUACAUGUUCUUCAUGUGAUCUGAGAACUAGAUCAGUUUCAUGAGUGAACAAUGGCUAGGCCUUUGACUGACAUGUGAGCCUUGCAGUCAAGUUUUAGGCAUGUCAUAUGGUUUUUUGUCUUUCUCAAUGUUGGCGAAGAGAAUGGCCAAACCAGCUACCGCACAAAGUGUUCUGAAUUUUUAUUUGUAGAAUUUUAAGGCUCACCAAAAUUG